This 262-nucleotide small nucleolar RNA is filed under the name Otolemur garnettii (small-eared galago). RNAcentral's name for it is "Small nucleolar RNA U3 (ENSOGAG00000025747.1)". It matches the Rfam family "Small nucleolar RNA U3", at positions 1 to 186 of the family's 219-position model. Rfam says of the family: Small nucleolar RNAs (snoRNAs) are involved in the processing and modification of rRNA in the nucleolus. There are two main classes of snoRNAs: the box C/D class, and the box H/ACA class. Lineage: Eukaryota; Metazoa; Chordata; Mammalia; Primates; Galagidae. The record is from RNAcentral.
AAGACUGUAUUUUCAGGGAUAGUUUCUCUAGCUCAUUGCUAGAGAAGUUUCUCUGAGUAUGUAGAGCCCUGGAAACCAAGAGGAUGAGGUACAGCUUCUCUCCUUGGCGUGAAGCCGGCUCUUGGGGUCGCUUUGCUGCAAACACCAUUUGCAGGGAUGAUCAGUUUUCUCUCCCUUUGCUUCCUCUCUACCCAUGUGAUCUCUGCACACAUCAGCACCCCUGCCCUUCUGUACCUUCUGCUAAUGUGGAAGCAGUUUGAGG